Molecule: long non-coding RNA, 576 nt
Filed under: Homo sapiens (human)
Lineage: Eukaryota; Metazoa; Chordata; Mammalia; Primates; Hominidae
Description: non-protein coding lnc-CALM3-1:6
Source: RNAcentral
CAUUGCUCCAAGAUGGCGGCGGCGGCGGCAGCGGAGGAGAUGCUCUGCUGAGGGGCAGUUGCUAUGGUUACAGGGCCUGGACCUUCCUCCGGAAGGUGAGAAACAGGAGCGCAGCUCAGCUGGGCUGGAACUGCCCUCCUGGAACUCCCCCAGCCUACAACCUAGGAGGUGCAGGGACUGAGGCUCAGGCCAAAUCGCAACUCAGACCCAGUGAACCCAAGGCCUGAAGAGAAUUUGGAUUCAUUUACCUUGUUUUGUGGGGACUGGAGAGACAAGUAAACUCUCAGAGUAACUGUCCCCUCUGACUACCAUUUCUAAGGCAAGCCCCCUGUUUCUACUCUUGCGCCCCCUGCUGGUUUCCUGCCCUGUCUGUAAGUUGCAUGGCUUUUGUCCGUCUUUUUUUUGUUUGUUUGUUUGUUUUGAGACAGGGUCUCACCCAGGCUAGAGUGAAGUGGAGCAAUCUCGGCUCACUGCAACCUCCGCCUCCUGAGUUCAAGUGAUUCUCACACCUCAGCCUCCCCAAUAGCUGGGAUUACAGGAUGCCCCGGAGGCCCAGCUAGCCCCAGACUUCGGCCC